GUGAGAAAUGUCCUUUUUUUCAUUCUUUAUGAAAAAAAAUUGAAACACUAGUGCUGUAAUGUAUACUCUCCUGUAAGAUCUGUCUUUGUACAGAACGAAGCACUUGCUUAUAUGUAUCGGUCAGUUGGAGAUUAUUACCAGACAAAUAGGUUGAUUGUCCUGUUCUCAGACUGAAUUAUCUUCUCGUUGGCCUAGUCACAGGGAAUUAAUAAAACUAGAUAGGAAUGUAUUUCCAUUCUCCCAGCCUACAGAUUUAAGUGGUUAAUGUAAGAGUUGACCCAAUUUAAGCCCAGUACUGUCAGUUCUCCUUAUCUCAGCCCAAAUAGGAACUAAGAAAUAUCCCAAAUGUUGAUGCUCAUCCAAGCAUUUGGGGGUGGGAGUGGGAGGGAACUGAUGCCAGGAGAUGGGACUAGAGCGAGGAAUAUAUAUUUUUUGAGCCUGCCCCACGUUUUUUCUACUGUAUUGUGAGUGUUGUAACAUUUGAAAAACUUUUGCCAUAGCUCUUUGGGACUUGGCGUUAAAGGAGCCAGUGGUCUCCCUUGGGUAGUGUACUAUAGUGAUUUAUUAUGACCCACAACCACGUGGGUCUGCAUCCCUUGCAAAUGACACAACCUCAAAAGUAACAAUGAAAAACCACUCCACCAAGUAGAUGUCUUUAUGUUGUCACUCUUAUUUAAAUACAAACUUGGGCAGGGAGCAUGUUUUUUGUUCUAUACAAAAUUUAGCUGACUUUGGAUAUUCAUAUUUUAAUUGUUGAAUGACUUACAUGUUCUUGAUGACUAAACUCAAAUGUCUUUUUCCCGUAUCAGUGUUGCUGGUGGUUUUAAUGAAUAUCAAAGUUCUCCUCUUGUUUCUGUGAGCCACUAGGGGCAUCAGCUGCAGAGUGGCUGUAGAAGAAGACAGCAUCUCCAUGACCUAUUUCACCCCCUUUUCCUUCCCUACUCCCCUGCCCCACCCCCAAGCUGUUCUUUCUGCUGCUUUUGGCUUCUGAGUGCCCCAGCCAUCUCUCCAGACAUGUACACUUCAGUUGGGAAGUUAAAAGGGCAAGGGCCAGACCAGCUCUGUCUCCUCUCUUCCUGCCAAUUGUUGCCCAUUUGCUGUGUUGAACUCUGUGUAAAGUUAUGCCUCAGUCUCUCUUUGCUAAAGCUUUUUGCAUGCCUUCUGCUCCCAAGUCUCUGGCUGCUUCUGCACACACCCUGAACACAUUGUGCCUGUUUUCUAUGGUUGUGGAGAGUGGGUGAACAAGUAAGUAUGUACAGCAGUUUUCCUUAUGGUAUUGGUCACAGUUAUCUUGUGUCUAUCUAUAUCUGUAUUAUUCUAACAAUAUCCUGUAAUUAAAAGUAUAAUUUUUAAA
RNAcentral lists this long non-coding RNA (1354 nucleotides) under Phocoena sinus (vaquita). Its description in RNAcentral is "lncRNA (ENSPSNG00000000256.1)". Lineage: Eukaryota; Metazoa; Chordata; Mammalia; Artiodactyla; Phocoenidae. The record is from RNAcentral.